Small nucleolar RNA from Nothobranchius furzeri (turquoise killifish), 128 nucleotides. Its record names the gene SNORA71. It matches the Rfam family "Small nucleolar RNA SNORA71". From Rfam's summary of the family: The members of this family belong to the H/ACA class of snoRNAs which bind a number of proteins (including dyskerin, Gar1p and Nop10p) to form snoRNP complexes. This class of snoRNAs are thought to guide the sites of modification of uridines to pseudouridines by forming direct base pairing interactions with substrate RNAs. Lineage: Eukaryota; Metazoa; Chordata; Actinopteri; Cyprinodontiformes; Nothobranchiidae. The record is from Ensembl.
CCCUGUAUCGAAAGGUGGUCUCAGCGUGCUCGUGGCUGAGGUCAUUAUUAAUACAGGAAGAUAAAUCUGAGAGAAUUCCCGUGUUUGGAGGACUGCCAGUUCCUCUCAGACCCUGAUCCUCUCAGACA